UGCCGGGGCAGGGUACUCCCCUGUACAACGACUACAUUGAUCUUUAUCGGCGUCCGUUGCCUCAGCAAACCACAAUUUCUAGGUCUGCCACUUUCUGAAACAAUAUUAUAAUAUCAUUCACUUUAGCUGUAUAUUUGCACUCUCCAUUAUGCAGGAAUACACAAUGAAAAGAAAAGGUGGGCCACAUACCAAGGAAUGUUAGAAACCUACCGAGAUGGUUUAAACAAAUCAAAUAUGCAAUCCAACAAGACAAUCAGCAAAAUCGCAAGAUUAGAAAGGAGAAUGACACUUCAAGAGAGAGAAACAGAAGGUCUUCAAUCAUACAUGGAGAUGUGCCAGGCUCCGCAGACACACAAAAAGGACAACCUUUGAUACAUGUGAAGGCAAGUAACUCAACAAAAAAAGCAAAAGACACAAGACUACAUAGGAAAAGAAAAAUGCAAACCAAGAGGGUUGCAGAACCAUCAACAAAAGAAGGAGAUUCGCCCGGCUGAUAAAACUAUGAGGUAUGCAAAAAAUAAAUUACAAUCAGCAUCUAAAAUUUGGAGAUUCGUGGACCUGAUAUUUUCUGUUAUGUGCGUGUACAAC
This is a long non-coding RNA of Triticum aestivum (bread wheat), 588 nucleotides long. RefSeq lists it as uncharacterized. The record is from RefSeq and is a predicted model, not a curated record. Lineage: Eukaryota; Viridiplantae; Streptophyta; Magnoliopsida; Poales; Poaceae. The transcript has 3 exons.